CACCACACACAGUCUUAUUCUCCCUGGUAUGAGUGCAGAGUGGAGGUAGGCUACACCACACACAGUCUUAUUCUCCCUGGUAUGAGUGCAGAGUGGAGGUAGGCUACACCACACACAGUCUUAUUCUCCCUGGUAUGAGUGCAGAGUGGAGGUAGGCUACACCACACACAGUCUUAUUCUCCCUGGUAUGAGUGCAGAGUGGAGGUAGGCUACACCACACACAGUCUUAUUCUCCCUGGUAUGAGUGCAGAGUGGAGGUAGGCUACACCACACACAGUCUUAUUCUCCCUGGUAUGAGUGCAGAGUGGAGGUAGGCUACACCACACACAGUCUUAUUCUCCCUGGUAUGAGUGCAGAGUGGAGGUAGGCUACACCACACACAGUCUUAUUCUCCCUGGUAUGAGUGCAGAGUGGAGGUAGGCUACACCACACACAGUCUUAUUCUCCCUGGUAUGAGUGCAGAGUGGAGGUAGGCUACACCACACACAGUCUUAUUCUCCCUGGUAUGAGUGCAGAGUGGAGGUAGGCUACACCACACACAGUCUUAUUCUCCCUGGUAUGAGUGCAGAGUGGAGGUAGGCUACACCACACACAGUCUUAUUCUCCCUGGUAUGAGUGCAGAGUGGAGGUAGGCUACACCACACACAGUCUUAUUCUCCCUGGUAUGAGUGCAGAGUGGAGGUAGGCUACACCACACACAGUCUUAUUCUCCCUGGUAUGAGUGCAGAGUGGAGGUAGGCUACACCACACACAGUCUUAUUCUCCCUGGUAUGAGUGCAGAGUGGAGGUAGGCUACACCACACACAGUCUUAUUCUCCCUGGUAUGAGUGCAGAGUGGAGGUAGGCUACACCACACACAGUCUUAUUCUCCCUGGUAUGAGUGCAGAGUGGAGGUAGGCUACACCACACACUGUCUUAUUCUCCCUGGUAUGAGUGCAGAGUGGAGGUAGGCUACACCACACACAGUCUUAUUCUCUCUUUGACCCUUUUACUCAGUUAACACAUACAGAGGUGUUAACUUUUCCGUGUGUGUGUGUGUGUGUGUGUGUGUGUGUGUGUGUGUGUGUGUGUGUGUGUGUGUGUGUGUGUGUGUGUGUGUGUGUGUGUGUGUGUGUGUGUGUGUGUGUGUGUGUGUGUGUGUGUGUGUGUGUGUGUGUGUGUGUGUGUGUGUGUG
Oncorhynchus keta (chum salmon) is the source of this 1174-nucleotide long non-coding RNA. RefSeq lists it as uncharacterized. The record is from RefSeq and is a predicted model, not a curated record. The transcript is spliced from 4 exons. NCBI's taxonomy places the organism in Eukaryota, Metazoa, Chordata, Actinopteri, Salmoniformes, Salmonidae.